Molecule: small nucleolar RNA, 149 nt
Filed under: Thermothielavioides terrestris NRRL 8126
Lineage: Eukaryota; Fungi; Ascomycota; Sordariomycetes; Sordariales; Chaetomiaceae
Source: RNAcentral
AAUCGGCAUGAUAACUAGGCGACGGUCCAUAUCCGCCCCACGAUCGCAGCCCUUUAAGUUGCCGAGAAAUCAACCACCAAUGCGAGGGUCUUACACGUUCUCGGAGGCUUUGACCGAUGAUGUCCAAUGUUUAAUCUUUCGCAACAAAC